This 464-nucleotide ribosomal RNA is filed under the name Blastocystis sp. PR-1. RNAcentral's name for it is "SSU rRNA". It matches the Rfam family "Eukaryotic small subunit ribosomal RNA", at positions 460 to 937 of the family's 1831-position model. Lineage: Eukaryota; Bigyra; Opalinata; Blastocystidae. The record is from RNAcentral.
GGAGGUAGUGACAAUAAAUCACAAUGCGGGACUAUUCGUCUUGCAAUUGGAUUGAGAACAAUGUACAACUCUUAUCGAUAAGCCAUUGGAGGGCAAGUCUGGUGCCAGCAGCCGCGGUAAUUCCAGCUCCAAUAGCGUAUAUUAACGUUGUUGCAGUUAAAAAGCUCGUAGUUGAAGUGUGGGUGGUGCCUACUUCAUGACUUCGGUUGUGAGGUAGAUCACCACCCCCUUCCAGUAUCCAGUAGUGGGUAUUCAGUUACUUACUAUUGUGUGUUGGUCGUUUACUGUGAGAAAACUAGAGUGUUCAAAGCAGGCGUUUGCUUGAAUAGAUUAGCAUGGAAUAAUAAUUGAAGGCUUUCGUGUUCGAUUUGAUUGGUUUGUUCAUGGAAGCAAGGUUAAAAGGAACAGUUGGGGGUAUUCAUAUUCACUAGUUAGAGGUGAAAUUCUCGGAUUUAUGGAAGAUG